Molecule: ribosomal RNA, 1435 nt
Filed under: uncultured organism
Description: SSU rRNA
Rfam family: Bacterial small subunit ribosomal RNA
Source: RNAcentral
CGCUAUCGACAGGCUUAACACAUGCAAGUCGAGGGGCAGCACAGGUAGCAAUACCGGGUGGCGACCGGCGCACGGGUGAGUAACGCGUAUGCAACUUACCUAUCAGAGGGGGAUAACCCGGCGAAAGUCGGACUAAUACCGCAUGAAGCAGGGGCCCCGCAUGGGGAUAUUUGCUAAAGAUUCAUCGCUGAUAGAUAGGCAUGCGUUCCAUUAGGCAGUUGGCGGGGUAACGGCCCACCAAACCGACGAUGGAUAGGGGUUCUGAGAGGAAGGUCCCCCACAUUGGUACUGAGACACGGACCAAACUCCUACGGGAGGCAGCAGUGAGGAAUAUUGGUCAAUGGCCGAGAGGCUGAACCAGCCAAGUCGCGUGAGGGAUGAAGGUUCUAUGGAUCGUAAACCUCUUUUAUAAGGGAAUAAAGUGCGGGACGUGUCCCGUUUUGUAUGUACCUUAUGAAUAAGGAUCGGCUAACUCCGUGCCAGCAGCCGCGGUAAUACGGAGGAUCCGAGCGUUAUCCGGAUUUAUUGGGUUUAAAGGGUGCGUAGGCGGCCUUUUAAGUCAGCGGUGAAAGUCUGUGGCUCAACCAUAGAAUUGCCGUUGAAACUGGGGGGCUUGAGUAUGUUUGAGGCGGGCGGAAUGCGUGGUGUAGCGGUGAAAUGCAUAGAUAUCACGCAGAACCCCGAUUGCGAAGGCAGCCUGCCAAGCCAUUACUGACGCUGAUGCACGAAAGCGUGGGGAUCAAACAGGAUUAGAUACCCUGGUAGUCCACGCAGUAAACGAUGAUCACUAGCUGUUUGCGAUACACUGUAAGCGGCACAGCGAAAGCGUUAAGUGAUCCACCUGGGGAGUACGCCGGCAACGGUGAAACUCAAAGGAAUUGACGGGGGCCCGCACAAGCGGAGGAACAUGUGGUUUAAUUCGAUGAUACGCGAGGAACCUUACCCGGGUUUGAACGCAUUCGGACCGAGGUGGAAACACCUUUUCUAGCAAUAGCCGUUUGCGAGGUGCUGCAUGGUUGUCGUCAGCUCGUGCCGUGAGGUGUCGGCUUAAGUGCCAUAACGAGCGCAACCCUUGCCACUAGUUACUAACAGGUAAAGCUGAGGACUCUGGUGGGACUGCCAGCGUAAGCUGCGAGGAAGGCGGGGAUGACGUCAAAUCAGCACGGCCCUUACAUCCGGGGCGACACACGUGUUACAAUGGCGUGGACAAAGGGAAGCCACCUGGCGACAGGGAGCGAAUCCCCAAACCACGUCUCAGUUCGGAUCGGAGUCUGCAACCCGACUCCGUGAAGCUGGAUUCGCUAGUAAUCGCGCAUCAGCCAUGGCGCGGUGAAUACGUUCCCGGGCCUUGUACACACCGCCCGUCAAGCCAUGGGAGCCGGGGGUACCUGAAGUCCGUAACCGCGAGGAUCGGCCUAGGGUAAAACUGGUGACU